RNAcentral lists this long non-coding RNA (523 nucleotides) under Olea europaea subsp. europaea. The record is from RNAcentral. Lineage: Eukaryota; Viridiplantae; Streptophyta; Magnoliopsida; Lamiales; Oleaceae.
CUAGUACUUUGGCUGAGCAAUUUCAGAAGUUUCUCUCCUUACAACCUCAAGCUAUGCCUGCUUCUUCCAUAUGUCAGUUGCCUCAUAGUUCUUCAGGUAUGUCACAUUCUGUAUGGGUCUUGAAUUCUGGUGCUUCACAUCAUAUGUCUCCAAAUUUUUCGUCUUUUGUUUCUGUGUCCCCUUCGUCCUCUAUUGCUGUCAUGACUGCUGAUGGCACUCUUAUGCCAUUAGCAGGUAUUGGUUCUGUUGUCACACCUCACUUGUCCCUCCCUAAUGUUUAUCAUAUUCCGAAUCUCACAUUAAAUCUUGCUUCUGUUGGUCAGUUAUGUGAUUCUGGUAAUUUAGUCACAUUUUCCUCUUCUUCUUGUUAUGUGCAGGAUCUGCAAUCUUAGAAAUUGAUUGGGACAGGCCGUAGGAAGGGUGGAAUAUAUAUUUUGGAUGAGCUAAAAGUGCCAAUUGCUGCUGCCGCUACUAGUGUUGAUUUGUCUUCAUUUCGUUUGAGUCCUUCUUCUUUUAGUUUUUA